Long non-coding RNA from Gossypium arboreum, 841 nucleotides. RefSeq lists it as uncharacterized. The transcript has 2 exons. The record is from RefSeq and is a predicted model, not a curated record. NCBI's taxonomy places the organism in Eukaryota, Viridiplantae, Streptophyta, Magnoliopsida, Malvales, Malvaceae.
UCCAGGCUUUUCAAAGCCUACCCAACUAGGUCAGCCCUUUUGCCAAAAAUCACUCCAUCUUUCCAUUCAUAUAUUGGCUUCUUGUGCCUGCCAAUGUAGCCAAAAUCCCACAACCCCUUCAGGACCCUACUGCUUCACCGCCUCAAUUUUCCUGUCCUAGUGAUCCUCUACCACCAUCCUUUUCAUUCCCCAUCACUUUUGAGCUUCCUCCACCUUUUUUUCUCCCCAGAUCACCUGACGCUUUCUAUUUGCCUCUUUAUAUUUUGGAUGACAACACGACACCAGCAUCAGAGAUAGGGGUGGUGCAAAAGCUAUGGGGUGUAUGUGUGUGUGUUCAUUUGAGACUCUCCAAGAAGCAACGGACUCUACCUAUGGUGAAGGCGGUGCUAAUUAUGAAGUGAUUAUAUCUUAUGGGGGCUGUUUUACCCAGACGUUGUUGUUGCUCAUGCUUCUUAUGCUUUUAAUAACUACUGGUUGAAUACCAAGAGAAAUGGAGGGACUUGCAAUUUGGAGGGAUUGCUAUGAUUAUCAACUCUGACCCAAGUUUUCUUCAAUGUUCGUUUGUUCUCAGUCGAACAAGAGAAUGAGUUUGUUUUUAGAAUAAAGCAUGAUUUUGUGGGAUCUGAUUUCAGGGUGAAUGUCUUUUGCUUUUCACCAUAGGGAGUGGAACGAAUGCAAGCAAAAACGGCUUAAAAUUAAUUGUCUUUUUAACUACUGUACCAGGGGGUUAUCCUAUCACAGAUUCGCAGGCCUUAGAAUUGUUCUUCAAAUAUGGCGAAUUUAAUCUCAACUCGAUUGUAACGAAUAUUGUUAUCAAUAUAAGGAGAUAUGAAUUUAAAUA